UAAUUUUAUACAUAGCCCCCAUUUUACUCACUAUAGCCUUCUAAUUUAAAAAAUAAUAAAAUAAUAAUAUUUUUUACUAUUUUGCCCUUUAACUCUUAAAUUAAUUAUCAAAUAACUAACUACUUUAAUUUUGGAGUAAUAUUAAUUAACGAAGUAAAUAUCCAAUAUUUCGUAGUCUUUAAUAAUUUUCUACUUUUUUUCUUCUGAGGGAAAUCCCCUUCUACAUUCGAUAGCCCUUAAUCCUUAAUCAAACGAAAAAAAAAACAAAAACAAAAACAAAAAUACAUCCAUCACUCCAUAGCCCCCAUUCGUAUUCGAUCUUCUUCUAAUUUCAAUGCAACUAAUUAGCAAUCGGCAAAUCCCUUUCGUACAUUUCCUUUGUCAUUGAUUUAUCAUUUGCUAUUCUUGUCAUACAUCACUUUAACUGCGCAUAUAUCUAUAAAUCUCAUCAAAUAAUAACUUAAUC
This 466-nucleotide long non-coding RNA is filed under the name Salvia miltiorrhiza (redroot sage). RNAcentral's name for it is "long non-coding RNA (SMIL_LNC009479)". Lineage: Eukaryota; Viridiplantae; Streptophyta; Magnoliopsida; Lamiales; Lamiaceae. The record is from RNAcentral.